GGCGGGGUAGCUCAGCUGGUUAGAGCGUCGGAAUCAUAAUCCGUAGGUCGUGGGUUCGAAUCCCUCCCCCGCUACAA
Molecule: transfer RNA, 77 nt
Filed under: Ignavibacteria bacterium RIFCSPLOWO2_02_FULL_55_14
Lineage: Bacteria; Pseudomonadati; Ignavibacteriota; Ignavibacteria
Description: tRNA-Met
Rfam family: tRNA
About the family: Transfer RNA (tRNA) molecules are approximately 80 nucleotides in length.
Source: RNAcentral